UACGAAGGGGGCUAGCGUUGCUCGGAAUUACUGGGCGUAAAGGGAGCGUAGGCGGAUAGUUUAGUCAGAGGUGAAAUCCCGGGGCUCAACCUCGGAACUGCCUUUGAUACUGGCUAUCUUGAGUAUGGGAGAGGUGUGUGGAACUCCGAGUGUAGAGGUGAAAUUCGUAGAUAUUCGCAAGAACACCAGUGGCGAAGGCGGCUCACUGGCCCGAUACUGACGCUGAGGCACGAAAGCGUGGGGAGCAAACAGG
Molecule: ribosomal RNA, 253 nt
Filed under: uncultured bacterium
Lineage: Bacteria
Description: partial 16S ribosomal RNA
Rfam family: Bacterial small subunit ribosomal RNA
Source: RNAcentral